This 180-nucleotide ribosomal RNA is filed under the name uncultured Glomeromycotina. RNAcentral's name for it is "partial small subunit ribosomal RNA". The stretch from base 37 to 180 matches the Rfam family "Eukaryotic small subunit ribosomal RNA", at positions 684 to 830 of the family's 1831-position model. Lineage: Eukaryota; Fungi; Glomeromycota. The record is from RNAcentral.
GGAUCAAUCUAUCGGUCGUGCAAUAGUACGUACUGAUUUUAUUGAUUCCUACCUUCUGAUGAACUAUGAUGUCAUUAAUUUGGUGUCAUAGGGAAUCAGGACUGUUACUUUGAAAAAAUUAGAGUGUUCAAAGCAGGCAUUUGCUCGAAUACAUUAGCAUGGAAUAAUAGAAUAGGACCC